CUGAGACUUUCUUCUUCUUCUUCAUCAUCAUCUUCCUCACCUCCCGCUCGGUUAAUGAAGACGUUUCUCCCUCACCGGGAGCAGCAGCUCUCUGCGGGCUUAAAAAGUUGAGGAUGAUCCGGUGAAACCCCGGAGCACCGGAGGGGUCUGAGCCGGUUUUAUACCCGGGAUAUAAUCCACCGGACCCGGUUCAUUACUUUGGAUUUAAUGGAAAGGGACCCGGGUUUAAUGAUGGAGCUCUUUAACGGAUCAGGGAUCUUUACCUGAUCCCGGUAGAGAUUUAACGAGCAUUACAAAAAGAAAUAGACCCAGUUUUUUGUUUUUUUAACGGAUUCACGGUGUUUGAUCUGUGACGUUUCAAAAAUGUUCCCUCUUGUUACGGAUUCCCGGUUGGUUUAACGGAUCAAUAGGCUACCGGAUUUCUGACAGCCAACUCCAUACCGGAUUUCUUCGUGUUCAAACUGACAUCUGAGGUGUUUUAACGGACAGUCCCGGUGACCAAUUACUAAAGAGACCCUUAGUUUGUUUUAAAUAACGGAUUCCCGGUUCGUUUAACGGACCAAUAACGGAUUUAGUUGUGUCCAUAACGGUUUUUAACGUCAGUUUAACGGAAAGUCCUGGUGACUGUUACAAUAGAUUCCCGGUGUUUAAUCUGUGACAUUUACAAAAAUGAUGUUGUCUCUUGUAAUGGAUUCCCGGUUGAUUUAACGGAUCAAUACCGGAUUUCUGACAGCCAACUCUUCGUGUUCAAACUGACAUUUGAGCUGGUUUAACGGUGACUGUUACAAAAGAGGCCAUUAGUUGUUUUUUUAACGGAUUCCCGGUGUUUGAACAGAUCACUUUGUGUUUGAUCUGUUUCUAAAUGUUCCCCUGAUGUUUGCUCUUGUAACGGAUUCCCGGUUGAUUUAACGGAUCAGUACCGGAUUUCUGACGUUUAACAGCCAACUCCUUGUGUUCAAACUAACGGAUCAGUUUAACGGACAGUCCCGGUGGCACUUGACAAUUCACCCUCGGUAAAUAAGAGCAUACAAAAGCAGGUGUUUUUUAUUUUAACGGGAAAAGGCCCCGGUUCUUCUCAGGACUGAGGUCUCCCUUUAUAAUAAGACCUAAUAAUCACCGGGUUUCCGUUCGCCCAGGGACUGGAUAACGUUCACGUUUAAAACCGGAUUGAUUUCGGUAAAGGCUGCAUUGAUUCUUGGAUUUCUACCGGAUAAAAACAGCCUCUUUCCCCCGGUUUGUGCCCCCUCCACCGGAUCGAUAUAUCCCCGGUAUCAAUCAUUCUGAAUCUAUCUCUCAUCCAUCACGGUCUGUGGGGCACCGUUUAGCCCCGGUGGAGUGAACCACCUCCUGCACGGUGAAAUAACCCCCGUGCUGACCGUAAAUCAUCAAUUUACCCUCCUGAGGACCGAGAGGGAGAGUUAUUACCGAGAGGAAGCACCGUUAUCUGCAGAAUAUUAACGGAGAAAGAACAUUAUAACCUGGAGCUGGAGUUUAAACCAUUCAAGUGGUUGGUUUCAAUGCAAAUAUACCUGGAAAAUAACCUUUUAAUUCAAUAUUCUUAAAGGGUUUAGCUGAUUCCCAGAGAAAGCCUAUAUAUGAGACGCUCACUGAUGCAUGGUUUAGCUGAUUCCCAGAGAAGGCCUAUGGAUGAUACGCUCACUGUAUAGCCACAUCCUGAACAACACACCUCCCCCUCCUCCUCCUCCUCCUCCUGUCCUUCCUCUUCCUCUGCCUCCUGUAGAUCUUGAAAUCGAGCCAUGCAGCAUUGAUUUUUUAUUCUUCCUCUCCUCACCGCAAAACCAAAACGCACACGACCAUCUCAUCUUUUCUGGUUUGUCAGUUCUGUUGCCUGAAAUGUAAGACGUGCAGCAGAGACGGUUUUCUAC
Trematomus bernacchii (emerald rockcod) is the source of this 1886-nucleotide long non-coding RNA. RefSeq lists it as uncharacterized. The transcript is spliced from 3 exons. Lineage: Eukaryota; Metazoa; Chordata; Actinopteri; Perciformes; Nototheniidae. The record is from RefSeq and is a predicted model, not a curated record.